GCCGCUCCUGCUCCAGGCGGCACCCUCCUCCCGACCACACCCCGACUGGGGCCUGCUGCAGGCAGGAGUGUCCAUCACAAGCCGCCCAGACGCAGGAGGGGUGCCCGCGGGGACUCGGGGACACAAACUUUCCAAGGGUGCAGCAGCCUUGUUACCACUCUGACCCCUGCUUCCUGGUGACACCCACAGUUUGUGGCCAAGAUGUACCAAAUACAAAUCAAAGGAAUCUUUUCACGUCAAAACAGUCCUCGUUCAGAUGUUCUAGAAACAGCGGCUCAUGCGGGAAACCACCAGAGAAACACGAGGUUGGAGUACGCACCCUCUUAUUUUCCCCGACCCCAGAGAAUUCUUCAACCUCUGAACUCUCCUUCUCACCUGCCUCACUUCCAUCGGAAAUCACUAAACCAGACAAAACUGGGAAAACCAUUCGAGAGCAGCAGAGGCAGCGUAAGUGGGCGGCUCCCGUGCACAGGGAGGACGGCACCGCGCAGGACGUCGGGGCCAGGGUCCCCGCAGCACCGCACCUGCUCCUGCGUCUCUUUGCCAGCGCUUGUGAGGCCGCUGCGUCUGCAGAAGCCUCUCCUGACCCCAGAGCCCUCCUGGCCCGGGGGCUCCCACCCACUUGCGCCCUGAGCUCCACCCAAACCCCCGUGCGCGGAGGGUGGGCCGAGUGAAGACCAAACGGGGCUAGCUGCCCGCAAAGAGACCCCACCGUCCG
This 718-nucleotide long non-coding RNA is filed under the name Vulpes vulpes (red fox). RNAcentral's name for it is "lncRNA (ENSVVUG00000006907.1)". Lineage: Eukaryota; Metazoa; Chordata; Mammalia; Carnivora; Canidae. The record is from RNAcentral.